UACGUAGGGAGCAAGCGUUGUCCGGAAUCAUUGGGCGUAAAGCGCGCGUAGGUGGCUUCGUAAGUCCGUUGUGAAAGUCAAAGGCUCAACCUUUGAAAGCCGAUGGAUACUGCGGAGCUAGAGUACGGAAGAGGCGAGUGGAAUUCCUGGUGUAGCGGUGGAAUGCGCAGAUAUCAGGAGGAACACCAAUAGCGAAGGCAGCUCGCUGGGACGUUACUGACGCUCAUGCACGAAAGCGUGGGGAGCAAACAGG
Molecule: ribosomal RNA, 253 nt
Filed under: uncultured bacterium
Lineage: Bacteria
Description: partial 16S ribosomal RNA
Rfam family: Bacterial small subunit ribosomal RNA
Source: RNAcentral